GAUGAACGCUGGCGGCGUGCCUAAUACAUGCCAGUCGAGCGAACAGACGAGGAGCUUGCUCCUCUGACGUUAGCGGCGGACGGGUGAGUAACACGUGGAUAACCUACCUAUAAGACUGGGAUAACUUCGGGAAACCGGAGCUAAUACCGGAUAAUAUAUUGAACCGCAUGGUUCAAUAGUGAAAGACGGUUUUGCUGUCACUUAUAGAUGGAUCCGCGCCGCAUUAGCUAGUUGGUAAGGUAACGGCUUACCAAGGCAACGAUGCGUAGCCGACCUGAGAGGGUGAUCGGCCACACUGGAACUGAGACACGGUCCAGACUCCUACGGGAGGCAGCAGUAGGGAAUCUUCCGCAAUGGGCGAAAGCCUGACGGAGCAACGCCGCGUGAGUGAUGAAGGUCUUCGGAUCGUAAAACUCUGUUAUUAGGGAAGAACAAAUGUGUAAGUAACUAUUCACGUCUUGACGGUACCUAAUCAGAAAGCCACGGCUAACUACGUG
RNAcentral lists this ribosomal RNA (497 nucleotides) under uncultured bacterium. Its description in RNAcentral is "partial 16S ribosomal RNA". It matches the Rfam family "Bacterial small subunit ribosomal RNA", at positions 28 to 507 of the family's 1533-position model. The record is from RNAcentral.